CCAUGGCUACGGCUGACGCAGCGACGCCGCGUGGGGGAUGAAGCUUUUCGGAGUGUAAACCCCUUUCGACCCGGACGAAUACCUCGCAAGAGGGGUGACGGUACGGGUAUAAGAAGCCCCGGCUAACUACGUGCCAGCAGCCGCGGUAAUAACGUAGGGGGCCAGCGUUGCUCGGAAUUACUGGGCGUAAAGGGUCCGUAGGCGGUGUGGCAAGUCGGGAGUGAA
RNAcentral lists this ribosomal RNA (225 nucleotides) under uncultured bacterium. Its description in RNAcentral is "partial 16S ribosomal RNA". It matches the Rfam family "Bacterial small subunit ribosomal RNA", at positions 369 to 598 of the family's 1533-position model. The record is from RNAcentral.